Molecule: ribosomal RNA, 484 nt
Filed under: uncultured bacterium
Lineage: Bacteria
Description: partial 16S ribosomal RNA
Rfam family: Bacterial small subunit ribosomal RNA
Source: RNAcentral
GUUGAACGCUGGCGGCAGGCCUAACACAUGCAAGUCGAGCGGAUUUAGGUAGCUUACUCCUGGUUUCAGCGGACGACGGGUGAAUACUUCCUAAGAAACUGCAUGGUCGUGGGGAAUACCGUCCGGGCACGGGCGCUAAUACCUCAUACGUCCUGUUGGAGAAAGUGGGGGAUCUUCGUACCUCUCGCUAUCAGAUAAGCCUAGCGCGGAUUCGGUAGGUGGUGGGGUAAAGGCCUCACCAGGCGACGAACCGUAACUGGUCUGAGAGGAUGAUCAGUCACACUGGAACUGAGACACGGUCCAGACUCACACGGGAGGCAGCAGUGGGGAAUAUUGUACCAUGGGCGAAAGCCUGAUGCAGCCAUGCCGAGUGUUGGAAGAAGGUCGUCGGAUUGGAAAACACUUUAAGUUGGGAGGAAGGCCAGUAAGUUAAUACCUUGCUGUUUUGACGUUACCAAAAGAAUAAGCACCGGCUAACUUCGUG